RNAcentral lists this ribosomal RNA (733 nucleotides) under Vayssierea sp. CASIZ190731. RNAcentral describes it as "eukaryotic LSU rRNA". It matches the Rfam family "Eukaryotic large subunit ribosomal RNA", at positions 76 to 642 of the family's 3401-position model. Lineage: Eukaryota; Metazoa; Mollusca; Gastropoda; Nudibranchia; Okadaiidae. The record is from RNAcentral.
UCCCUCAGUAACGGCGAGUGAAGCGGGAAAAGCCCAGCACCGAAUCCCCCGGUCUCGCGACUGGCGGGAACUGUGGUGUGUGGGACGUCACCAGUCGUGCUUGUCGGUGCCGAAGUUCUCCUGAUCGGGACUUCUCCCAGAGCGGGUGUAAGGCCUUUGCGGGUACCGACGGGCUCGGCCGCGAGCGUCCCAGGAGUCGGGUUGUUUGGGAAUGCAGCCCUAAGCGGGUGGUAAACUCCAUCUAAGGCUAAAUACUGGCGCGAGUCCGAUAGCGGACAAGUACCGUGAGGGAAGGUUGAAAAGAACUUUGAAGAGAGAGUUCAAGAGUACGUGAAACUGCCCAGAGGUAAACGGGCAGACCCGCAAAGUCGGUCGUCGGAAUUCAGCCUGGCUGGUCGGAGCGACUGCGUGCCUGUGGAUCUGUUGAGCGAGGCGCGUGGCCGUCGUCCGUCCGACGGGUGCACUUUCCGGCGAUCGAGCGCCACAACCGGCUCCCGGCCGACCAGAACCUGGUGAGGAAGGUAGGCUUGCGAUUGCGCUCGUGCGACCGCCGGCUGUUACAGCCUCGCUGUGGAUCGGGCUCGGCUUUGGCAGGGGGCCGAGGGUAAGCUUCCGCGCUCGACUGAGGCGGCUGUACCGCAAUCGGGGGUGCGACUGGUGGGGACUGGGCAACCGUGCCUGCCGACCGUCCCUGUUUCGCUGGUGUGGCAUGCCUUGGGGCGCUUCGGGUUAG